This 465-nucleotide ribosomal RNA is filed under the name Vreelandella stevensii. RNAcentral describes it as "partial 16S ribosomal RNA". It matches the Rfam family "Bacterial small subunit ribosomal RNA", at positions 338 to 795 of the family's 1533-position model. Lineage: Bacteria; Pseudomonadati; Pseudomonadota; Gammaproteobacteria; Oceanospirillales; Halomonadaceae. The record is from RNAcentral.
CCUACGGGUGGCAGCAGUGGGGAAUAUUGGACAAUGGGCGAAAGCCUGAUCCAGCCAUGCCGCGUGUGUGAAGAAGGCCUUCGGGUUGUAAAGCACUUUCAGUGGGGAAGAAAGCCUUGGGGCUAAUACCCUCGAGGAAGGACAUCACCCACAGAAGAAGCACCGGCUAACUCCGUGCCAGCAGCCGCGGUAAUACGGAGGGUGCGAGCGUUAAUCGGAAUUACUGGGCGUAAAGCGCGCGUAGGCGGUCUGAUAAGCCGGUUGUGAAAGCCCCGGGCUCAACCUGGGAACGGCAUCCGGAACUGUCAGGCUAGAGUGCAGGAGAGGAAGGUAGAAUUCCCGGUGUAGCGGUGAAAUGCGUAGAGAUCGGGAGGAGUACCAGUGGCGAAGGCGGUCUUCUGGACUGACACUGACGCUGAGGUGCGAAAGCGUGGGUAGCAAACAGGAUUAGCUACCCCAGUAGUC